This 229-nucleotide ribosomal RNA is filed under the name uncultured bacterium. RNAcentral describes it as "partial 16S ribosomal RNA". It matches the Rfam family "Bacterial small subunit ribosomal RNA", at positions 15 to 236 of the family's 1533-position model. The record is from RNAcentral.
GAUCCUGGCUCAGGAUGAACGCUAGCUACAGGCUUAACACAUGCAAGUCGAGGUGCAGCAUGUUGGUUGCUUGCAACCGAUGAUGGCGACCGGCGCACGGGUGAGUAACGCGUAUCCAACCUACCCUUGUCCAUCGGAUAACCCGUCGAAAGGCGGCCUAACACGAUAUGCGGUUCACAGCAGGCAUCUAACGUGAACGAAAUGUGAAGGAGAAGGAUGGUGAGNGCGU